Molecule: ribosomal RNA, 324 nt
Filed under: uncultured eukaryote
Lineage: Eukaryota
Description: partial 18S ribosomal RNA
Rfam family: Eukaryotic small subunit ribosomal RNA
Source: RNAcentral
CCCUUAGAUGUUCUGGGCUGCACGCGCGCUACACUGAAGCGUUCAACGAGUAUUCACCUUGCCCGGGAGGGUUGGGUAAUCUUUUCAAAACGCUUCGUGAUGGGGAUAGAUUAUUGCAAUUAUUAAUCUUCAACGAGGAAUUCCUAGUAAGCGCGAGUCAUCAGCUCGUGCUGAUUACGUCCCUGCCCUUUGUACACACCGCCCGCCGCUCCUACCGAUUGAGUGAUCCGGUGAAUAAUUCGGACUGCAGCAGGCCUGGUCUCCGGGUUUUGCAGCGGAAAGUUUAGUGAACCUUAUCACUUAGAGGAAGGAGAAGUCGUAACA